GACGAACGCUGGCGGCGUGCUUAACACAUGCAAGUCGAGCGGUAAGGCCCCUCUGGGGGUACACGAGCGGCGAACGGGUGUGUAACACGUGCGCAAUUUGCCCAUCACAUCGGGAUAACUCCGGGAAACCGAAGCUAAUUCCGAAUACGACCACCUCCGGCAUCGGAUGGUGGUGGAAAGUUCCGGCGGCGAUGGAUGAGCUCGCGGCCUAUCAGCUUGUUGUUGGGGUAACGGCCCACCAAGGCUUCGACGGGUAGCCGGCCUGAGAGGGUGACCGGCCACACUGGGACUGAGACACGGCCCAGACUCCUACGGGAGGCAGCAGUGGGGAAUAUUGGACAAUGGGCGGAAGCCUGAUCCAGCAACGCCGCGUGAGGGAUGACGGCCUUCGGGUUGUAAACCUCUUUCGGCAGGGACGAAGCGCGAGUGACGGUACCUGCAGAAGAAGCACCGGCCAACUACGUG
This 465-nucleotide ribosomal RNA is filed under the name uncultured bacterium. Its description in RNAcentral is "partial 16S ribosomal RNA". It matches the Rfam family "Bacterial small subunit ribosomal RNA", at positions 28 to 507 of the family's 1533-position model. The record is from RNAcentral.